Molecule: transfer RNA, 75 nt
Filed under: Salamandrina terdigitata (spectacled salamander)
Lineage: Eukaryota; Metazoa; Chordata; Amphibia; Caudata; Salamandridae
Description: tRNA-Leu
Rfam family: tRNA
About the family: Transfer RNA (tRNA) molecules are approximately 80 nucleotides in length. Their secondary structure includes four short double-helical elements and three loops (D, anti-codon, and T loops). Further hydrogen bonds mediate the characteristic L-shaped molecular structure. tRNAs have two regions of fundamental functional importance: the anti-codon, which is responsible for specific mRNA codon recognition, and the 3' end, to which the tRNAs corresponding amino acid is attached (by aminoacyl-tRNA synthetases). tRNAs cope with the degeneracy of the genetic code in two manners: having more than one tRNA (with a specific anti-codon) for a particular amino acid; and 'wobble' base-pairing, i.e. permitting non-standard base-pairing at the 3rd anti-codon position.
Source: RNAcentral
GUUAAGAUGGCAGAGUCCGGUAAUUGCAAAAGACCUAAGCCCUUUCCAAUCAGAGGUUCAACUCCUCUUCUUAAC